UAACAAGGAUUCCCCUAGUAACUGCGAGUGAAGCGGGAAGAGCUCAAAUUUAAAAUCUGRCGGCCUCUGGCCGUCCGAGUUGUAACCUGAAGGGGCGUUUUCCGCGUCGGACCGUGUACAAGUCUCCUGGAACGGAGCGUCAUAGAGGGUGAGAAUCCCGUCCAUGACACGGACGCCCGAUGCUUUGUGAUACGCCCCCGAAGAGUCGCGUUGUUUGGGAAUGCAGCGCAAAAUGGGUGGUAAAUUCCAUCUAAAGCUAAAUAUUGGCGAGAGACCGAUAGCGAACAAGUACCGUGAGGGAAAGAUGAAAAGCACUUUGGAAAGAGAGUUAAACAGUACGUGAAAUUGUUGAAAGGGAAACGCUUGAAGUCAGUCGCGUCCUGUGGAACUCAGCCUUGCUUCGGCCUGGUGUACUUUCCGCUGGACGGGUCAACAUCAAUUUUGGCCGGUGGACAAGGGCGGGGGGAAUGUAGCGUCGCUUCGGCGACGUGUUAUAGCCCCUCGUCGGAUGCACCGGCCGGGAUUGAGGACCGCAGCGCGCCCUUGUGGCCGGGGGUUCGCCCCACGUACCGCGCUUAGGAUGUUGGCAUAAUGGCUUUAAGCGACCCGUCUUGAAACACGGACCAAGGAGUCUAACAUGCUUGCGAGUGUUCGGGUGGAAAACCCUUGCGCGCAAUGAAAGUGAAAGUUGGGAGCCUCCGCGAGGGGGUGCACCGACGCCCGGCCCUGACGUUCUCUGACGGUGCUGCGGUAGAGCAGGUAUGUUGGGACCCGAAAGAUGGUGAACUAUGCCUGAAUAGGGCGAAGCCAGAGGAAACUCUGGUGGAGGCUCGUAGCGAUUCUGACGUGCAAAUCGAUCGUCAAAUUUGGG
This 871-nucleotide ribosomal RNA is filed under the name Fomitiporella chinensis. RNAcentral describes it as "LSU rRNA". It matches the Rfam family "Eukaryotic large subunit ribosomal RNA", at positions 66 to 915 of the family's 3401-position model. Lineage: Eukaryota; Fungi; Basidiomycota; Agaricomycetes; Hymenochaetales; Hymenochaetaceae. The record is from RNAcentral.